GAAGCCAAUUAGACCUUUAAUUUCUACACUGAUUAGCUUGCUACCUGCAAAACUAAAACUUGAGUAAGUACAUAAUUAUCUUUAUAGUUGCCAAGGGAAUAAUGGAGAAUAUUUUAAGCCUCUCCAAGAGUUAACCUCUGUAUCCUACAAUUGGUUUUCUCCUUUAGGUUAUUGGUUCAAAUUCAAUUCAGGUUGAUAGUGAGUCACAGUUGUUGAUGGCCUAGAUGAAAUGACUUGGUUUGCUCAGUACAGUUCUAGUGGACAGAUGCUGAUAACACAAAAGCCAGCAUAAUAAAUGGCACUAACUGGUACCCGUCUUGGCAGUCUAAAGAGAGGAAAUUGCAUGAGAAUGGAGAAUGAACCAACUGCCCCUGCAGGUUUGUUCCUCCAGGUCAGAUUUAAGGCAUAGUUGGUGGUGGGUAGAAGCUUGCUCUCCAGCUGGUCAAGAUAUGCCUAUUCCUUGUGGAUUUCAUUCCCCAGGGCUAUAAAAUCUAAAAAUACCGUACUGGAAAAAAACAUGAAAAUCUCCCAUGACAUCAACUAACGAUCUUUGGGGUUUUUCAAGUAGCCAAGUAAAUUGUUGAGCUGCCUCUAAGGUUGAUGAGAUAUAACCUCAUUUAUAUAACCAAUAAAUUAUACAGUGGUUGACAGUCUGAGCCUAUGAAAAAGUGUUUUGCUUUAACUACUUAAGAAUAGCUACCAGAUCUUGGCUAUGGUGUAGAAUCCUGAACAGCCUUUGGCAGGUCUGGUGCGGGUGCCCCUGUGUGCUACGUGGUGCCAAAUUCUUACAAUCUUUGGGGAUGAAGGAAUUCACCCAGGAAACACUCCAUGGCACAGAUCAAUUCCAACACCUUUAUUAGCAUGGACUGAAGUCCAUUGUAAUUGAAGAAAACAGUCAAUGGGAGUAUGAUAGAAAUCCAAUAUGCCUAAAAGGAACUCUUCUUCAUCAGUCACAAGCCAUCUUGAUGCCCCUCCAGCUGGCUCCUAGAUUAAGGUAUCUCCUUCUCUUUCUGCAGCAGCUAAUUCUUGUGUGUGGUACACCUCAUAGGGCCACACACUCAGACUGCUUCUUGGGCCUGUCCCCCCGGUCCUGAGCUCAGGCUCUGUUUGGUUUUGCUGUCCCUGCAGCAGGAGCAUGUGCUUUCUCCAGCAGCACAUGCAGUCCUUUCUCCAGUUGUGUCCCCCUUCUCCAAUUGCAGGACAGCCGAAAGAAGCGGUGGGAUUUUUUGCCAGGUCUGCAGAUAACAAGGGCUCUACAGUGGUUGGAGAGGCCAACUUCUGUAUGAAGCUCACCUGAGGUCCAGGGAGAUGGUCAGCCUUCACUGCAUUGCUGCUGAUCUGUUGAAGGGGGCGGUGUAUGUAGCAGAAGGGAGGAAGAUUUAAUCAGCUUUUUGGAAGACCUCAAGAGAAGUGCCUCAGUUGGAAAUUUUGAAAUACUGCAUCUGCUGUAGUGACAGACCCUUCCUUGGAACAGACCUGAGAAUCAGUCAUGUCUUUGUCUAGGAGUUCUGCGCCUCUUCUGGAGGAGUCCCCUGAUGUGAGAGGGGAAUGGCUGAAUGCUUCUUUCCUCUGUCCUGGCAUGGUCAAAAUCACCAGGCUGCUUAAAUCUACCCAGCAACUCCUUGCUGGCACCUCUGCCCCCAUAUAGGCAGAGCAGAGCAGUCAAGACAGCAACAGGUCAAAUCCAAGCAGUGCUCCAUUUGUGAGGCAGCCUUCCUGGGUUCAGCAGACAGUGUGUUGUGCCCAGCUUUCACCCAUCCAGCCAAACCUAACUGUUACGUCUCAGGGCUAUGUGGGGUCCCCUCCCCACCAAAGCAGCUGUGAUUCCACAUGGGGAAAAAUGGAUUAGGAAGCCCAAAGCAGAGUAGGGACAGGCCCUAAUGACAAGAAAGGCUCUAGCCAGCCAGCUCGGGUAGGUCCCAAGGUACCCCCGGGAGACCAAACUAGGGAGACUUGUGGGACCACAAAUCCUUCCAUCCCCAUGUUAAAGUCAGUCCUAAGUGCACUGGGAAAAGAAUCAUAGUUUACAGGUUCCCUCCUUAUUGGAAAAAAACUAGACAAGAUGGUGGCUGACAAAGCAGCAAAAUCUAAGCACUCCCUCCCAUCAUCACUAAGUGCUCUGAGGAGGGAAUACAGACCUGCCUUCAGACAGAGGUGCUCCUUUCAGCCCUUGUCCUCACAGAGGUACCAGCAAAGGGACAAUAGAUUCUCCAAAGGAGGUGAGGUUUAGGCAGAAAUCCCCUGGGGAGCUGUCUUCCCCCUCCCCACUGCAAUCCACUUUAUGGCAAAGACCACAGAAGCUUCCACCCAGAACUAAAGCCAGGAGGCAGAAUUUCCCAUUUCCUGGAGGAAUGGUUUGCAUCAAUCAUGAACAAGUGAGGAAAGGGAGAUAGUGAGCCAGGGAUAAUUCCCUGAGCUGCAGUGAGACACUAUACCUCAAAAUAGCACCCUGGAACCCCCACAUUCACAGUGUGAUAUGAUUAUAUGUUUUGUACAAUGCAUGCACCCCAAUAUUCAUUAUUGUCAUGCAAUUAGGGAUAUAUUUUGUACAAAGUAUGCAUUGUGAGGUAUCAUUCUAAAAGUCUUGUUCUACUGGACAUUAAGAUCUCAUUGAAUUGUAUGUGCUAUUGUCGUAUGUGAAGUUAUGAAGUUUGGCUAUGUACGUAUUACAGAAACAUGUGAGGUUGAAAACACCCAC
Mauremys mutica (yellowpond turtle) is the source of this 2698-nucleotide long non-coding RNA. RefSeq lists it as uncharacterized. The transcript has 3 exons. Lineage: Eukaryota; Metazoa; Chordata; Testudines; Geoemydidae. The record is from RefSeq and is a predicted model, not a curated record.